UUGUUAGUCCCUACCUUCCUCUUGGCCAAAAGUGAAAUGAAUGACCUAAAAUAACAUUAGUUUAAUCUGACUGUGCAGACUAACAUCAUGGGCAUAGAAAUCUCAAGUUCUUGAUUUAUGAUCCUAAUACUGACUCUGAUUUCUAAGACUUCAAACAGACUGCUAACCAAACAAUGAAUCUAUUAAGUAACCACCUACUUGGGUUCACAAGUAAAUCAAAAAGCUUUGGUAGAUUCAAGAAGGAAACAUUUGUCCAGGGAGGAGAAAUCACUUCUACAAAUAUUGAGAAAAGGUGAUUCCUUCAUUAGAAAAAUCUUCAUUAAAACAGAUCGUAUUCAAGAAAUUCAUGAGGGAGAACAAACAACAGGGGGAAAAAAGCAAUGCUGUCUAGAUGAAGAAUGUCAAAGAUUCUGUUUGCCUCUUCAAGGAUUUAGGGAAGUUUUAAAAGAUUGACUCUUUUUUCAACUUCCCCUUCUCAUGACUGUACAGUAACAAACACUAUUAAUCAUUUCUCAUUUCUUUUUAUAUAAACUGAUUCCUACAUCCUGACUUUGCUCCAUAUAAGCUUUUUAAU
This is a long non-coding RNA of Sarcophilus harrisii (Tasmanian devil), 574 nucleotides long. RefSeq lists it as uncharacterized. The record is from RefSeq and is a predicted model, not a curated record. NCBI's taxonomy places the organism in Eukaryota, Metazoa, Chordata, Mammalia, Dasyuromorphia, Dasyuridae. The transcript is spliced from 3 exons.